This 301-nucleotide ribosomal RNA is filed under the name uncultured bacterium. RNAcentral describes it as "partial 16S ribosomal RNA". It matches the Rfam family "Bacterial small subunit ribosomal RNA", at positions 509 to 807 of the family's 1533-position model. The record is from RNAcentral.
CAGUCGCCGCGGUAAUACGUAGGGUGCUAGCGUUAAUCGGAAUUACUGGGCGUAAAGCGUGCGCAGGCGGUUCGUUAAGACAGAUGUGAAAUCCCCGGGCUUAACCUGGGAACUGCAUUUGUGACUGGCGAGCUAGAGUAUGGCAGAGGGGGGUAGAAUUCCACGUGUAGCAGUGAAAUGCGUAGAGAUGUGGAGGAAUACCGAUGGCGAAGGCAGCCCCCUGGGCCAAUACUGACGCUCAUGCACGAAAGCGUGGGGAGCAAACAGGAUUAGAUACCCCCGUAGUCCCUGUCUCUUAUAC